AUCAAAUUCUCCCCAAAUUGAAUUCAAUUUUGGUUAAAAUUUCUUCAAAAUUGAAAGGUUUGGAUAAUUGGUCAAAAAUUGAAAUGUGGGGAUAAAAUUGCAAAUUCGCACAAUCAUUUUUAAUUUUUUGGUUUAAAAGGCCUUAAAAAUAUUGUCAUUUUGUUCAAUUGAUACCUCAUUUCUGCCUAGAUGUGUUUAUGUACAAAAUCUCAAGAUAUCAUUGUUAGGGUUAGGGAACCCUAACUGAGAAUUAUAACAGAAGUAGGGAAAGAAUUAGAAGAGAGAGAGAGAGA
RNAcentral lists this unclassified non-coding RNA (293 nucleotides) under Hevea brasiliensis (rubber tree). Lineage: Eukaryota; Viridiplantae; Streptophyta; Magnoliopsida; Malpighiales; Euphorbiaceae. The record is from RNAcentral.